CGCAGUUUUAACACAGAUAAACAGCGAUUUAUUACGAAACGUGUUCCUCUUCAGAUGUUGUGUUUGAAAUUUCAGUUUGAACGAUACUUCUGAGCACAAGUGUUCAACCACCUACCCAGCUUGACUGAACUGAAGAUGGUGACCCAGGUGUUUAACGAAACGAAAUAAAACACCGCAAGUCAGACACGGCUGAAUCUGAUGUGUAACGAAUGUUUUCUGAGACAACAGAAAAAGGACUCGCUAAAGAUGAAUAUUCAAGAAAGAAGAUUAAACGAAUUACAAACACUUAGUAAAUGAAAUCAAGAAAAAAAGGUUUUGAGUUAGAAACACCAAACGUUAGUGCAUUGCAUAUAACAUUUAUAAACAAAUAA
Molecule: long non-coding RNA, 371 nt
Organism: Bacillus rossius redtenbacheri
Lineage: Eukaryota; Metazoa; Arthropoda; Insecta; Phasmatodea; Bacillidae
Exons: 3
Source: RefSeq, a predicted model, not a curated record